Ornithodoros turicata is the source of this 824-nucleotide long non-coding RNA. RefSeq lists it as uncharacterized. NCBI's taxonomy places the organism in Eukaryota, Metazoa, Arthropoda, Arachnida, Ixodida, Argasidae. The record is from RefSeq and is a predicted model, not a curated record. The transcript is spliced from 3 exons.
AACCGCGAAGCUUUGAGGCCUGUAUUAUAUAUGUUGGCCUAGGUUUGGGGGACCCACUGAUCUCGAUUGUAAAAGGCUGGAUCGCAGAUGGGAGCGCGAGCGUGAGGAAACCGGCCGCCAUCUUACUGUACCCACAACAGUCGCCGCAGCGAUCAUGGCAACUUCUUGCAAUCACGGUCGUACCAAUUGUACUGGCAAGGAUACAGGGCCUAAAUUUAUACAGGUUUCGUCAUGAGGACUACCCAGUGAAUAAUCUGUGCAGUGUGAUGGUGAUACGACUGGGUGUACAGGUUACUUCACAGCUGCCUCGACAUACUCAAGAAAUGGGUGCAGAACCUGCGUAAUGCCCACAAACUUUGACUACCACAGCACCUCCAGAAAGUAAAGGCAUAUGUGUCACGUGGGAUUUUUAAAGGCAUUCACAGUAUGUAAUGCCUUGUAUGAACUGUUGUAGAUCUAAGCAGCCUCUACAGUACACUCUCAGAAAUUACUUGUCAGGGAACUGUGAUAAUUGUUUCAGUUCAUAGGCAUGCACAUAUAUGCUAUAAGAAGAAAUUUAUUUUUUGAGGAUGCAUUUCUCUGGUAGUGAUGUUGUUUACAUCUACUUUUGAUCACAUUAAAUUUAAAAUUAAAUUCAGCAUAUAUGAGAAAAUAUCAGGAGGGGAGUUGCUAUUCAUUGCUCAUUCCAACCUAAAAUUGAGUGCUACAAAUUUAGAGAGUGUACCUGUCCAUUGUCAUCCCUAAAAUAUGUACUGUCAUUGUAGGAAGGUCACGAAUAAACAAAUGUAGUCUUUUGCGGCCUCCCUGCACGUUCAUUGUAUCCU